Molecule: non-coding RNA, 148 nt
Organism: Homo sapiens (human)
Lineage: Eukaryota; Metazoa; Chordata; Mammalia; Primates; Hominidae
Rfam family: Metazoan signal recognition particle RNA
About the family: The signal recognition particle (SRP) is a universally conserved ribonucleoprotein. It is involved in the co-translational targeting of proteins to membranes. The eukaryotic SRP consists of a 300-nucleotide 7S RNA and six proteins: SRPs 72, 68, 54, 19, 14, and 9.
Source: Rfam
GCCAGGCAUGGUGGUGCAUGCCGGUAGUCCCAGCUACUCGGGAGGCUGAGGUGGGAGGAUCGCUUGAGCCCAGGAGGUCAAGGCUGCAGUGAGCUAGGAUUGCACCACUGCACUCCAGCCUGGGCGACAGAGCGAGACCCUGUCUCUA